This 425-nucleotide ribosomal RNA is filed under the name uncultured bacterium. Its description in RNAcentral is "bacterial SSU rRNA". It matches the Rfam family "Bacterial small subunit ribosomal RNA", at positions 354 to 796 of the family's 1533-position model. The record is from RNAcentral.
GUGGGGAAUCUUGCACAAUGGGGGAAACCCUGAUGCAGCGACGCCGCGUGAGCGAUGAAGCCCCUCGGGGUGUAAAGCUCUUUCGGCGGGAACGAUACUGACGGUACCCGCAGAAGAAGCUGCGGCUAACUACGUGCCAGCAGCCGCGGUAAUACGUAGGCAGCAAGCGUUGUUCGGAGUUACUGGGCGUAAAGAGUGUGUAGGCGGUUCGGUUCGUUCGGUGUGAAAUCUCCCGGCUUAACUGGGAGGGUGCGCCGAAUACUGCCGAGCUCGAGUGCGGGAGAGGAGAGCGGAAUUCCUGGUGUAGCGGUGAAAUGCGUAGAUAUCAGGAGGAACACCGGCGGUGUAGACGGCUCUCUGGACCGUGACUGACGCUGAGACACGAAAGCGUGGGGAGCAAACAGGAUUAGAAACCCGAGUAGUCC